UACCUUAAACCUAAAAAAUUUGGCGGCCUCUAAUGGAAUAAGAGGAGUUUGCCCAGUAAACGACGAUCCCCGACAAUCUUACCGGAGAGAAGAGCUUGUAUACCGCCGUCCAGAUUACACUUAAAGGUCUUAUCGUGCUUAUACUUGUAUAUAAGGUCAGGCCAAGGUGCAGCUUAUUCUAAGGCCGGGGUUAACUACAAUAAGAAAGGCUGUUAAACAAGGCCAUGAAACAAGUUGAGAGAGAGGAUUUUAGAGUAAUUCACUUGAAAAGGGUGAGAGUGACAAUUGUGCUAGGGGUGUACAUAUCGCCCGUCGCUCGCGGGA
RNAcentral lists this ribosomal RNA (324 nucleotides) under Leucon nasicoides. Its description in RNAcentral is "partial small subunit ribosomal RNA". The record is from RNAcentral. Lineage: Eukaryota; Metazoa; Arthropoda; Malacostraca; Cumacea; Leuconidae.